UUUUCUCGCACCUAAAUAUAGACCACUUGUAUUUUAUGAAAAGCAGCCAGGAGCCAUCGAAAAUGUUAAAGUGCUCUUAGUAGAGGAGGCUUCUGAAAUCCACCUCGAAUGGUGAUGAUGAAGCAAGUUUUCUCAGACUGGCAUAUUCUUCCUAAUGCAAUAUUUGUGCCACCUAUUUAGCUGAACGGGAAGUUUGCUCUCGAUCGAAUCUACUUGUACAACGCAAGUUCGAUCAGCUUCGUUUGACUUUUAAGAUGUGAUUUCUCAGUGCAAUAUAGUGAAAAUCUCUUGACUCGGUAUGAAGAUAACAUAAGCUUUGCCGUAAAUGAAAACUCGGCCAAUAUCUAACGUUAAGAGGUUCAUCCGUUUGUAGACACGAGUCAGUCAACACGGAUUUAAAAUGGCGAAAAAAACCUUUCCGGGUAAAAUGUUUUCCACACCUUUUUGAAAUUAGAGUUUGAUUUACUUCCACACAUCUCUUGGUGUUGAUUUGACAACUCGUACUUCUGUAUCCCUCUGUCUUGGCCUUCAUGUUGACAUCUGCCCUCCAUAUUGGUUUCACACGAAAGAGGCAUGUUAAAUUUAAUCGUCAAACGGGACUUCGUCGCAUAAAUCCUAUUUGUUUGGAUAUAAAGCUGUAAAACAAAGGUUCACCUUAAAAAAUUCAAACAGUUUUUCAGCAGCAUCGAAGUGGAUCGUAAUAAUAUCAGCGAAAAAAGGAUCUCGUGUUUAAGAUACAUUCUCGUGGUGUGACUUCAGCUUGAAAAACUAAAUGAAGAAAAUUCUUUACUCAUACCUAUGGCCUUAAACAGAUUGUGUAAAUUAAUCAGUGUUCUAAAAGCAGAGGUUUCAUAUUUGUGAGUUAUUUUCUUAAAAUGAAUCAGUUAAUGGCGACGAGCUUCACCAAGAAAUGAUUUCACCAAGUUAUGGUUCACCAUUUCAGCCCAUUUCAAUCAGCUGGUUGGAUUUUGACAACUUCAUCGCAAACAGCGCAGCAAUGCUGAUAGCUCAGUUUGCACUGUCUUUUCUUAAUUAUCCCAGCAAGAUUGAAAAGGCGGGAAAACGAAGGUUAACCUAGGCUUAUUAAAGAAAGCUUUGGACUUGUCAAUUUACUGUCCGGGAGCGUUUAGCACCAGACGAUUAUGUUGAUGCUUCAGGUCGGCUGCAGAGAAGUGCGGUCAAACUAGUUGGCCUUCCAAAAACCGGAAAACGCUUUACGAACAUACUUUAAUACCAUUAACAGGCUUUGCUUUUUCCAUCAAUAAAGCUGCUAAACAGCUUAGGAGAGUAAGCAGGAGAAGUGGAUAUUGCAUCCGUGACAUAUCCCGGCUCCUCUUCUUCGGAGCAUAAUAGCCGCUAUGACGAGUGGCAUGAUGACAAUUCGUGUUUUAACUUUUGGUCGAUUCUUUGUAUAGUCCUUAUUCGUUUGGCGAUCCUUUAUUCGGUGCCAAAUUAUUUUGGGUCAUUUACGUCAAGAACAAAGAUCAAGGCGCAAAUUUUCGUGUAAAUUUGGGAUAACCAAACAAUAAUCUUCCCGCCCAACAAUUCAACGCUCUCUCGCCGAGGAAAAGAUUUCCUUUUCCUUGAAUGAUCGACCACACCACGCCUUUUCUUGAAUGCAAGAGGUGUUUCACUGUGUACAAAAAUAUCUAUGUACUUUAAUAGAAAUAACCCCAACGCAAAAUACGAAGUAAAAGUUUUUAAGGGUGUGCUUUGGAUAAUCACUUUUGUCGGCUGUUUAAUCUAUGUGGUGGCUGUCUGUCAACAAAAGAUGGUUCUGAAACUACUUUGCAAAACGCGAUUUUCAAUUAGUUUUUAAAUCUGUCGACAUGAAAUAAAUGUCUGAAUUAGCGCGGUUUUCCAAGAAAAACCUUGAAGAGGGAUUGUAUCUCAGGUAUAAAAAUCCAACGAUUCAGUAAAAAUUUGCCUUAUCCUCACUUCAGCUUUCUAACGCAGCCGAGCAGGUGGCUGUGUAUAUAUAAACUUUCUUUCUAUCUUGCCUUCUCUCCUAAAGGGACAAUAUCUUCCGUCUAGUUGUUGUUGUUGUUCAUCAAGUGUAUAUUUUUUUAGUACAUUUUCCAGCGCCAAUACCAUUCUUGGCGUAAAUAUGUUGGAAGAGAAAUUCUUCAUUGCAAAAUCGAAGAGGAUGUAAUCAAAGCGUGGUCGACACUUCACGCUAUGAAAGGUUCCCCGGUCACCUUUAUAGGCUCACUCCUUUCCUAGUUACCUUCGAUUUAUCUUGUUGUCAGACUGCUAUAACGUGCCGCAUCCCAUAGAAGUUAACUUCAAAUAAGUAAAUAAAAAACACGCGGUUCUUUUCAAGGGUAAGCGUUCACUUUUAAGUAUAGUUUUAUUCUUUUAUUCGACUGUCGAUGCCGCCAUGACUAUUAAUAUGCCGUGUGUCGGUUGUGUUGACUUAAAUUUGAAAAGGUCCUGAGUUAUAAGCUUUGACAUUUCUCUAGAGUAGCGAUCAACGCACAUUUACCGCACAAUUAAGGAGGUAGCCGAAUGGUCAGGCGAGCUUCGAUUUCUACCGGCAAAUGAAUGAUGAACCUUGCGAGAGGUGUUCGAUCGGUUUUUUGUCCCGUCGCAAAGAAGCAAAGAGCACUUUGAAACAUAGACGCAGAAUAAAUGACACCAAUGGUGUUUACAGAAAGGAAAAAACAAGAACACACUCACUGGAGUGAUCAAGAACAUCAAAUAUGGCCAAAAUAGUCUUCGUUCGUCAAUGUAGACUCUAGUAGUGGCCUCAUGGACUGGUGAUGUACGAGCGUUCUCCCCUUAACAUCAACUUGUUCGAAGGAAAAACGAAAUUGGGGACGUGGGACACUUCAGAGCUUUGCAAUCAUAGACUAAUUAUUUUGAAGUGCAGAGUUGCUCUAUUCCUUCAUACAAGUCGUAAAACUGACUCUUAAUGCCGAAUAUUCCCAUUUUAUUUGGUAUCUAGGAUAAGCCGUCUGAACGUUCUUUAUUUCAAGAGGUUGGUUAUUUGAUAGCGAUGGAAAGCGAAAAAGCUGUCCAAAAUGUCCGUAUCUGUCUGUCAGAACAGUGGCUUGAAGAAAGCGGAUGAAAGGCGACCGAAAACAAACUUAACAUACCAAAGACACCAAGCAAACGAGAAGAAAUUAUUAUAACUUUUAAAUUGCGGUUUUUUUUUACCAUUUUGUUUCUUUAAAUUUUGGCUCUCAAACUACCUCUUAUUUCGACAAAAACUUCAAGAUGUGAAACCUUGUUUUGAACCUGAGGGGCUUUGCGAUUGAGAUGAAUACUGACUGCCGUUGAAAAAGUUUACUUUUCAUCUUUGAAUCAUAGCACCGAUGUGGCGGAGGAAAAACUGUGAUAUCAGUGACUUGUUAUUGCCAUCAAGAGCCGAGGAUACAGGUCAGCUCAUCAAACAGGCGGAUGACAUUUGAUUCACACAAAAGGAUCACAAAGAAAAUGCUACGUAGCAUGCAUCUAACUCAGAGUCACAAGGGGUCUGAGAUGAAUCGAAUAAUAAAACUAAAAGCUUCUUCAGAA
This 3519-nucleotide long non-coding RNA is filed under the name Stylophora pistillata. Its description in RNAcentral is "uncharacterized LOC111320996, transcript variant X2". Lineage: Eukaryota; Metazoa; Cnidaria; Anthozoa; Scleractinia; Pocilloporidae. The record is from RNAcentral.